AUCCAGUUGACGAGUCCCAAAUAGGAUGAAACACGAGUCCUGAAU
This 45-nucleotide non-coding RNA is filed under the name Schistosoma curassoni. The record is from RNAcentral. Lineage: Eukaryota; Metazoa; Platyhelminthes; Trematoda; Strigeidida; Schistosomatidae.